GGAGCGGCAGGGGAGGCCGGUGAGGCCCAGGAGGAGGGGUGGGAAGCAGGGGGAGCCAGGAAGCCCUUGUCAUCCACGCUGUGGAAGCAUAAGUGUCAGGAAGGCUCUUGGAAACCCCACAGACAGCGCUGGGCGGGAAGCUGAGGACGGGAUGGAGAAGAGGCCCUUGGGCCUCACUGAAGCAGGGGGAGCGAGGCCCCCAAGCUCCCGAGGACAGCUGCGAAUGGAGGGCAGGGGCGGCAGUUUCCUGAGAGACAAGACAAGAGGAGCAGGCGGAGGACAGAUGGAUGGACGGACGGAGGAGUGAUAGAUGGAUAAAUCAAACGGGUGCAUUCCGUUUCCUGGACCGUAGCCAUGGGCUCCAACCUCUAAAAGUACAUCAUGGACAUCUUCAUGGAGAUGCCCCCUUGCUAAAAUCCAGCACUGAUUAAAAAGUGAAUGUAAAUUCUCUCUGAUGAGCUUUUUAUCAUGUUCAGAAGAAGGAGAAGUCUGAUAUAAAGUAGUAAAACAAGAAUAAACAAACCUAUAAUUUGAAGUAGCAGCUCUGGGAACAAUAACAAGGUUUUCCAAUCUCCCAGAUCAUAAUUAACAGUGUAAAGAAUUAAAGGGAAGUUCAGGAAGGAGUGCUUAAACCUUUUUGUAAAUUUAAAAACAAGUAAUGAUCUCCAUUGCUGUUCUCCAGGUUUAUUCAAAUUUGGACAAUUAGGACAAUUAAACAUAAAACAGAGACAGUUCUAAAGAGGGAGCUGCAACAAAGCAGAAUAAUUGCUGGUACGGGCUAUCAAAUUUACAUAAAAAAAGAUUAAAAAGCUGAUUUACAUUUAAAAAACAAGAUCGGGCAACAUCUAAAAUAGAUAACACAACCCGCUGAGAAAAGCUCUUUUCAUCAAUAAAGGAGAAGCAAAGGUGAUUAUACAUAACAAAACUAAUCUUCUAUAUUGCUUUAAUCACCUAAAACCACUUUAACUGUUUAUUUGGGAACUGUUACGUGAAAAAAAAAUAUUGCAUGCAAAAGUGUCUAAUUUUCAGGUUGCCAUAAAACAUAGACAGCGUCAGGAUCCUGCUCACACGUCCUCUGUUUAUCACCUGCUCUCUUCUCUGGAUCCCGUCUUCUCUUGGUUAUCAAAGUUUUCGCCAAUUACAAAUCUACGCAUUGCAGAACUUGAAAAUUUGCCACGUAAUUGGUUUAACAGAUGCUUCCAGAACAGCAGUUCUGUUUAUUGUUACAGCAUCUCAUGAACAAAGUAGAUUGUAAAGCCUUUUCCUUCCUGGACUGAGCAUCUACGUGGCAUUUUGAACUUUUUUUCGAAACAAAGAACAUAAUUACCUGAAUUUUAAUAUGUGCCAUGCCCAGCUCCUUUGUUAAUAUUUGCUAUUAUUGCGGGGGGGGGGGGGGGUUCAAGUUAUUUAUUCAUUAGUUCAGUACAUUCAUGAUUUGAACUUAAAGAAUCAAAAACACUGUUGGCAAAUCAAACUCCAAUAAAAAAUAUACAAAAAAAAGAAUCAAAAACACUUGAACAGAUCUCAAAAUUGGGGGCUCGACUGCCAUUAAUAUACAUCAAUGUUCUUAAAGCUUCUUGUGAAUCAUCCUAAAAAUUAAGAAGAAAAUUACAGUUAUCCCAAUCCCAAUUAUAAUUUAGGCUAAGAAAAACAAUCAGAAGCUAGAAAAUAGGAUAAAUUCCCAUUUCAGUUCCUUUACAAACAAGCAAUGAAAUACUAAUGAUAUCAAGAGAUUUUAGCAUACCAAGUGAUGGGGUUCAGGACACACUAACCCAAAAUAUGGCACCUCUGUAUAUUGAAUAUCUUAAGCUAAAGGAGUCUAAGAAACAGCAAAUGUAGGAAAGACUCUCUGACCUCCCCCUUCUCCCUGCAGCAGAUUAUAAGACCCUCAGUUGAGAGGCGCCCUCUCUGUCCCCAGAGGAAAGGAGCAGCCUUGUCUCCAAAGAGGAUGAAUCUGAACAAACAGGCCUUGCUAAGUUUCCCUCAGGUUGCUACCUUUAGCUCAUACCCCUUUGCCCUAUCACAUUUCCCUAUAAAUUUCAAUUCUUUAUCAAAUCUACUGUAAAAACACUCAGGGCCAACUGUUUGUUCAGGUCUUCAUUUCCUUAUGAAGGUUCCCAUGUCACAUAAAACUUACAUUAAAAUAUUAAGUGAAUGUGUAUGCUUUUCUCCUGUUCCUUUCUCCGCUGUUACAGGGGCCCCAGCUGAAAACCUAGAAAGGUAGAAGGAAAAAAUAUUUUUCCUUCCUACACAGCAAACCACAGAUCAAACAACAUGAAUAAAAACAAAAUUGAAAUUGAAGACAAGAAAGAAGAUAGAUUUGACUUGAACAGUUUUACAAGUUCCCACAAAACUCUCAAAUCCCUGUAGCCCUUGUGGAAAGUGCCUACUGUCUGUUAUCUACGACUGCACGUGUUUGUGAAUCAAAUAGCAAGUGUUUGUAUGUUAUAAAAGACUUCAAAUAUCUAGCCAAGUUGAGCAUCACUUUUUUUCUUAUCGAAUGAAUCCGAUUUCCCACUCAUUUCUAUUAUAAAUAGGAAAUGUGAUCCCACAGGAAACAAAGGAAGAGAGAUUAUGGCUUAAAAAGAAAAAGAAAAACAGAUAUGGCAAGAAAUUUUGCCACUAAUGUUCUCUAGGACUUGGGGUCAGAGGCUGAACCUCAGUGCAUCCUAGACCACCCUUCAGCAAAAGGACCUCAGUGACUUUCCUGCCAAGCUCUAAGAGAAAUGAAAAGAUGAACUAGAAACUGCAAGUCACUCUGGAUCCCUUGGAUAAAUAUAAAUAUAAAUAUUUAUUACUGUUGUUACUUCACAGUAAAAUGCUGCAGCCCCAGACACGACUAUUUCAACUAUACAUACAAAGCAACCAGGGAGAGAAGACAAGUUUGCUUUCACUAAGUACCGUAUGAACAGGAAUCAGUCAGCAUC
This 2927-nucleotide long non-coding RNA is filed under the name Canis lupus familiaris (dog). RNAcentral's name for it is "lncRNA (ENSCAFG00030010454.1)". Lineage: Eukaryota; Metazoa; Chordata; Mammalia; Carnivora; Canidae. The record is from RNAcentral.